CAAGUUAAGAGACUAACUUAUAAUAUAUUUUUAUUAAGAAACUAAACCAAAAUAUUAAAUUAAUUUAACGAACUAACAUAUGUAUUAAACCUAAAAUAUUUCUAUCCUACUCAAAUCCGUUGCUUGGUACACCAAAAGACUAAAAAAAAAAUUUAAACUUAUUACUAAUCCUAUUCAAUCAUCCAUUUAAUUCUUGGUUAGAUAUGAUAGAAUAAUUAAAAAAAAUGUUAUUG
RNAcentral lists this long non-coding RNA (233 nucleotides) under Lathyrus oleraceus (garden pea). Its description in RNAcentral is "Pisum sativum (pea) long non-coding RNA (PSAT_LNC012771)". The record is from RNAcentral. Lineage: Eukaryota; Viridiplantae; Streptophyta; Magnoliopsida; Fabales; Fabaceae.